GAUGAACGCUGGCGGCGUGCUUAACACAUGCAAGUCGAACGAUGAAGCCCAGCUUGCUGGGUGGAUUAGUGGCGAACGGGUGAGUAACACGUGAGUAACCUGCCCUUAACUCUGGGAUAAGCCUGGGAAACUGGGUCUAAUACCGGAUAGGAGCGCCUACCGCAUGGUGGGUGUUGGAAAGAUUUAUCGGUUUUGGAUGGACUCGCGGCCUAUCAGCUUGUUGGUGAGGUAAUGGCUCACCAAGGCGACGACGGGUAGCCGGCCUGAGAGGGUGACCGGCCACACUGGGACUGAGACACGGCCCAGACUACUACGGGAGGCAGCAGUGGGGAAUAUUGCACAAUGGGCGAAAGCCUGAUGCAGCGAAGCCGCGUGAGGGAUGACGGCCUUCGGGUUGUAAACCUCUUUCAGUAGGGAAGAAGCGAAAGUGACGGUACCUGCAGAAGAAGCACCGGCUAACUACGUG
Molecule: ribosomal RNA, 466 nt
Filed under: uncultured bacterium
Lineage: Bacteria
Description: partial 16S ribosomal RNA
Rfam family: Bacterial small subunit ribosomal RNA
Source: RNAcentral